UACGGGAGGCAGCAGUAGGGAAUCUUCGGCAAUGGGGGCAACCCUGACCGAGCAACGCCGCGUGAGUGAAGAAGGUUUUCGGAUCGUAAAGCUCUGUUGUAAGUCAAGAACGAGUGUGAGAGUGGAAAGUUCACACUGUGACGGUGGCUUACCAGAAAGGGACGGCUAACUACGUGCCAGCAGCCGCGGUAAUACGUAGGUCCCGAGCGUUGUCCGGAUUUAUUGGGCGUAAAGCGAGCGCAGGCGGUUUGAUAAGUCUGAAGUUAAAGGCUGUGGCUCAACCAUAGUUCGCUUUGGAAACUGUCAAACUUGAGUGCAGAAGGGGAGAGUGGAAUUCCAUGUGUAGCGGUGAAAUGCGUAGAUAUAUGGAGGAACACCGGUGGCGAAAGCGGCUCUCUGGUCUGUAACUGACGCUGAGGCUCGAAAGCGUGGGGAGCGAACAGGAUUAGAUACCCUGGUAGUCCACGCCGUAAACGAUGAGUGCUAGGUGUUGGAUCCUUUCCGGGAUUCAGUGCCGCAGCUAACGCAUUAAGCACUCCGCCUGGGGAGUACGACCGCAAGGUUGCAACUCAAAUGAAUUGACGG
RNAcentral lists this ribosomal RNA (585 nucleotides) under uncultured bacterium. RNAcentral describes it as "bacterial SSU rRNA". It matches the Rfam family "Bacterial small subunit ribosomal RNA", at positions 340 to 916 of the family's 1533-position model. The record is from RNAcentral.